AGAGUUUGAUCCUGGCUCAGGAUGAACGCCGGCGGUGUGCCUAAUACAUGCAAGUCGUACGCACUGGCCCAACUGAUUGAUGGUGCUUGCACCUGAUUGACGUUGGAUCACCAGUGAGUGGCGGACGGGUGAGUAACACGUAGGUAACCUGCCCCGGAGCGGGGGAUAACAUUUGGAAACAGAUGCUAAUACCGCAUAACAACAAAAGCCGCAUGGCUUUUGUUUGAAAGAUGGCCUUGGCUAUCACUCUGGGAUGGACCUGCGGUGCAUUAGCUAGUUGGUAAGGUAACGACUUACCAAGGCGAUGAUGCAUAGCCGAGUUGAGAGACUGAUCGGCCACAAUGGAACUGAGACACGGUCCAUACUCCUACGGGAGGCAGCAGUAGGGAAUCUUCCACAAUGGGCGCAAGCCUGAUGGAGCAACACCGCGUGAGUGAAGAAGGGUUUCGGCUCGUAAAGCUCUGUUGUUGGAGAAGAACGUGCGUGAGAGUAACUGUUUACGCAGUGACGGUAUCCAACCAGAAAGUCACGGCUAACUACGUGCCAGCAGCCGCGGUAAUACGUAGGUGGCAAGCGUUAUCCGGAUUUAUUGGGCGUAAAGCGAGCGCAGGCGGUUGCUUAGGUCUGAUGUGAAAGCCUUCGGCUUAACCGAAGAAGUGCAUCGGAAACCGGGCGACUUGAGUGCAGAAGAGGACAGUGGAACUCCAUGUGUAGCGGUGGAAUGCGUAGAUAUAUGGAAGAACACCAGUGGCGAAGGCGGCUGUCUGGUCUGCAACUGACGCUGAGGCUCGAAAGCAUGGGUAGCGAACAGGAUUAGAUACCCUGGUAGUCCAUGCCGUAAACGAUGAGUGCUAGGUGUUGGGAGGGUUUCCGCCCUUCAGUGGGGGAGCUAACGCAUUAAGCAUUAUGCUUGGGGGAGUGGGAGGUCUAGGUCGAUAAUCAAAGGAAUUGACGGGGGCCGGCAUAAGCGGUGGAGGAUGUGGUUUAAUUUGAAGAUUCGAGAGGAUCGUUGGCAGGUCUUGACAUCUUGGGAUAACGUUAGAGAUAAGGAGUUCCCUUGGGGGACGCAAUGACAGGUGGUGCUUGGUCGUUGUCAGCUGGUGUAGGGAGAUGCUGGGUUAAGUCCAGCAACGAGCGCAACCUUUGUUUCGUAGUUGCCAGCAUUAAGUUGGGCAGUUUAGUGAGAGUGCCGGGGACAAACCGGAGGAAGGGGGGGAAGAAGUCAGAUCAUCAUGCCCGUUAUGAUGUGGGCUACACACGUGAUGCAAGGGAGGGUACAAUGAGUUGCUAGCUCGCGAGAGUAAGUUAAUUUCUUAAAGGUGUUAUCAGUUGGGACUGUAGGUUGCAAGUUGCCUACAGGAAGUUGGAAUCGUUAGUAAUUGCGGAUCAGCAUGCCGCGGUGAAUACGUUCCCGGGCGUAGUACACACCG
This 1430-nucleotide ribosomal RNA is filed under the name uncultured bacterium. RNAcentral's name for it is "16S ribosomal RNA". It matches the Rfam family "Bacterial small subunit ribosomal RNA". The record is from RNAcentral.